CCUACGGGUGGCAGCAGUGAGGAAUAUUGGUCAAUGGCCGGAAGGCUGAACCAGCCAAGUCGCGUGAGGGACGACUGCCCUCUGGGUUUUAAACCUCUUUUAUAAGGGAAGAAUAAAUGCUACGUGUAGCAUGAUGCAUGUACCUUAUGAAUAAGCAUCGGCUAACUCCGUGCCAGCAGCCGCGGUAAUACGGGGGAUGCGAGCGUUAUCCGGAUUUAUUGGGUUUAACGGGUGCGUAGGCGGUUUUUUAAGUUAGUGGUAAAACGUCGGGGCUUCACCUGGAUUUGCCAUUGAUACUGUAAGACUCGAGUUUGGGAGAGGUAGGUGGAAUACGUGAAGUAGCGGUGAAAUGCUUAGAUAUAACGUAGAACUCCGAUAGCGAAGGCAGCUUACCGGACUACGACUGACGCUGAGGCGCGAGAGCGUGGGUAGCGAACAGGAUUAGAUACCCGAGUAGUC
Molecule: ribosomal RNA, 459 nt
Filed under: uncultured bacterium
Lineage: Bacteria
Description: partial 16S ribosomal RNA
Rfam family: Bacterial small subunit ribosomal RNA
Source: RNAcentral